UAUUUUUUUUUAUUUUUUUUAUUUUUUUAGGAAGAUUACAGCCUUUAAUCUCCUCAAAAUAAAUGUGCAUAUAAACCAUGAACAAUUUAAUUAUAGCUGUAUUUAUAAAAUGCUUACUAAUGACUAUUAAUUUUGGGAGUAGGCUAGCAACAGUUGAUGUUGAGGCCUAAGAUAUUUCUUAAGCUGUAAUGAUGAAAAAACAACAACAACACAAAAUUGCUUUGUUUUCUGCUGGUGAUUAAAGAGAUGAUUAAGUCUCCCUCCCUCUCUCUCUCUCUCUCUCUCUCUGACACCAAGCCCAUCCCCUCUCCCACACAUUCACACAAACUCAGCACACACACUUAACACACACACACUUAACACACAAACACACACACACACACACACACACACAUUACCCAGAGGGACAGAGUGAUAUCAGAUGUAUGGUAGUUUUUUAAUUUUCUAUCAUCCAUAUAGUGUUGUAUAGUCAUGAAACUAUGCAUAUUUCCUCAGCAUGACUUGUCUUCUAUGUGUACAUUUUGUUGAAGUGUUUAGAAGCUGCACUUAAAAAAAUAAAAGACAUUUACUGGUUCCUUUUUUACUGUUAUUUCAAAAAAUCACCACGCAAAAUCAUUCAAGCUAUCCAAAAUUCAUUCGUACCUGUUCUGUAAGAUUAAUCCUUUAAACAGUGGUAAAAGAGGAUGUGGUGCUGAUCCUUCAAGAGUCACUCCAAACUUAUCGGUCCAUAAAGCCUAUAAAGAAUUAUUCUUAAUACACAGUAUUUCACAAUACUUCAGCAUAUUAUUCUAGUUAAGUGAGGGUCAUUUUAUCAGUAAAAUACAUAUUAUUUUUCUUUGAAAGAUUUCUAUAAAUGAUUUAAAUCAUACUUGUUUCUACAAUAAUUAUUUAAAAGUAAUCAUAUAGCGCCAUCUGGUGGCCAUUAUUGGUACUAAGAAUUGCAAGCUUGAUUUAUAAGUUAUGAUAGUUUUAAUUUUAAGCUGGCUCUUGAAAAUGAUAAAGCUAUGAAACUUACUGUGCUUCUUUCAAAUGAUGACUUCUACGUAUAUAAAAAAUUAUGAAGAGUUGGAAUGAAGAAUGUUAAAGAUAUAGUAAAAUAACUAUUGUAUUUUUUUAUGUUACUUUAAUAAAUCGGUAUGGCCACACCAUUUAAGGUAUCCUUAACCCAUUCACAAUUUAACAUCUUCAGUAUAUUGGCAUCAUGUUGAAAAAGUUUGGUGUGAACUACUUGUGUCUUCUUGGAGGAGUAUGAUUCAUUUACAGGCUGAGUUUAUCAUAAAUCCACAAUAAAAUUUCUGAGUUCUGUA
Molecule: long non-coding RNA, 1307 nt
Organism: Carassius gibelio (silver crucian carp)
Lineage: Eukaryota; Metazoa; Chordata; Actinopteri; Cypriniformes; Cyprinidae
Exons: 2
Source: RefSeq, a predicted model, not a curated record